GCAAACUUGGUCAUUUAGAGGAAGUAAAAGUCGUAACAAGGUUUCCGUAGGUGAACCUGCGGAAGGAUCAUUAUCAAUCAUGGUGAGACCUUUUUUAAGGAUCUCGCGUAUAUACUUAAAACCCAACUCUGUGAAUCAAAUAAAAUUUUAUUUUUCUAUAAAGUAAAUCUAAUAAGAUCACUUUCAACAACGGAUCUCUUGGCUCUCAGAGACAGGCAAACUUGGUCAUUUAGAGGAAGUAAAAGUCGUAACAAGGUUUCCGUAGGUGAACCUGCGGAAGGAUCAUUAUCAAUCAUGGUGAGACCUUUUUUAAGGAUCUCGCGUAUAUACUUAAAACCCAACUCUGUGAAUCAAAUAAAAUUUUAUUUUUCUAUAAAGUAAAUCUAAUAAGAUCACUUUCAACAACGGAUCUCUUGGCUCUCGCAUCGAUGAAGAACGCAGC
Molecule: unclassified non-coding RNA, 442 nt
Filed under: uncultured fungus
Lineage: Eukaryota; Fungi
Description: partial contains small subunit ribosomal RNA, internal transcribed spacer 1, and 5.8S ribosomal RNA
Rfam family: Eukaryotic small subunit ribosomal RNA (bases 1-73)
Source: RNAcentral